CGGCGGACGGGUGAGUAAUGUCUGGGAAACUGCCCGAUGGAGGGGGAUAACUACUGGAAACGGUAGCUAAUACCGCAUAACGUCGCAAGACCAAAGAGGGGGACCUCCGGGCCUCGCGCCAUCAGAUGAACCCAUAUGGGAUUAGCUAGUAGGUGAGGUAACGGCUUACCUAGGCGACGAUCCCUAGCUGGUCUGAGAGGAUGACCAGCCACACUGGAACUGAGACACGGUCCAG
RNAcentral lists this ribosomal RNA (235 nucleotides) under uncultured bacterium. RNAcentral's name for it is "partial 16S ribosomal RNA". It matches the Rfam family "Bacterial small subunit ribosomal RNA", at positions 96 to 334 of the family's 1533-position model. The record is from RNAcentral.